GUGAAUAUGUGGGCCUGCGGGCCGCUAUAAGCAACAGCCUGAUGGACCAAGCUCUCACAAGUCAAGCCUGGCCUUGGGCCGAGCUUGGGGAGUAGAAGAACUCCCAGAACCCCAUCAAGCAGGGAUUACGUACGAAGAAAGGGGCAGGGAGGUGCCAGGAGAACUCUCGACUUAAUGGAGCUGUCACUAGAGGCAGCCUUGGAAUAUUAGAGCAAGUCGCAAAGCUCUCACCUGGCGGCACUCAAAAUAGCUAAUUACAAUGAAAAAACUCACUAUACUACGAUAUAACUGCACAGUAUUCGCAGAUAUAUAUAAUGGCAUGAUACAAGGCUUGAACAAAUCAAACUGAUGUCAUUAUGCUGUUGUUGUUGUUAAAGAUUCGCUACCUGGAACUAAAUGAUCCAAGUAGCACGGGCUAUGGUGAGCCCGUAGUCAUUUUGCUGCAGGCGACAGCAAAAUGAUGACUUCAACACAAAAUGAUUAUGACUAUCACCUACCUCAAAAGAAGUAGGUGAUGACUUAAACAAAAGGUUUAGUGGUUAUCAAAAGAUUUCGGGACGUCAUCAAAACAGGACUGUGAGGUUCACGACGUAUAAAUCAAAUACUGUACCGAGAAAAAAAAAUGAGUGUCAAGUCAACGUAAUCAUGUUCGAGGGUAUGACUCUAAACUUGCUGCGUUCACCUUCAGCUGUAGUGUAAACAGUCCCUAAAUCACUAUAACCUAAACACCUCACCUAACCUAGCUAUACAUAAACCCACAAUAUAUAAUAAUGAUAUACAAUUCAGAAAAAAAGUUUGUUACUAUACAUUAUAUAGAUUCAUCUUGUCAAUUUGUUGUCUGCUAAAUCAAAGCUACACUUAGUUAAAACUAAGCCUGACGACUCGCGUAUGAGGUGAAUAUUGGGGGGUGGUAUAUGUGCUAUCACCGGUUCCUACACACCCAUCAGACACAUAUGUGUCUAUCUAUAUGGUAUAUAGGUGGUAUGUGCUAUCACCGCUCCUGUGCCAGGUAAGUCCACAACAGGCUCACCAUAGCAUCGUGCUACUUGGAACUUGUUCAGAGUAGCUGAAUCUAUAACAACAACAUCCUACACACCUCCACUUAAGCGAAAGGAGGUUUAGUUGUAACAUUGAUCAUGCCCUUGUCUGCACGACGAUCUUCAAUGUGCUACAGAUCAAGAUUGAGGAAUUGUUUGGUUUCCAGCCACUGCCAGAAAAAAACAAUAGUGAUGAAAUUUAAAAACAGUGUGACAUUUUCUUUCUGAAAAAGCAUGAUGAUGACAUUAUCAGUCUGCCUAAUGGGAAAGGAUCGGUGCAAGUGAUUAAUUUGAGCAAGACGUUUACAUAUUUUUCUGUGAGGGGAUGCGCCCUUUGAAAUGUCGAAUGGAACUAUUACUCGCAUACUGGAACAAUAUGGGAAGUGAACAAUGUUCGAAUCAAUAAAUAUACUUUGGAGCAGGCUGUUAAGGCCCCUUGCAUAUGGAUAAGGUUCACGUGCAUUACAGUCGUAAUAAUUAGUAAAAAAAAGCGGCGUUGCCAAUAUCAAUUGUCUAGGGAUUAGAGAAACGACUGCUUCACAAACACAUCAAUAUACUUCAUGAAGGGGUAACAAAUAAAAAAAACAAUAAUAACAUGAAACACAGGUACUAGGUAUCUCCAGAAAUAUUCAAACAUUCAUGAGGUGAAAUAACACGUCAUUAGCACUGAUAACUUUAAAUAUUAUAUAUGAAUAAAUGGGUAUGCAAAUAAUGGUCUAACCAGAUAAUUAGCUAUGUUAACUGAACUAAAACAGGCAAUUUUGACUUAACUCAUGACUGCAGAUCCAACCUAAUCAGCUCUACCCACGCAACUGACUGCUAGACUCCUAUGCCUAUCUAAGUGUGGUGUCUACACUUUGCCAAGUAAGACCCGCAAGAAUACUCUCAGAUAUAUGUAUGUGUGU
Molecule: non-coding RNA, 1942 nt
Organism: Procambarus clarkii (red swamp crayfish)
Lineage: Eukaryota; Metazoa; Arthropoda; Malacostraca; Decapoda; Cambaridae
Source: RefSeq, a predicted model, not a curated record